CCUACGGGAGGCUGCAGUCGAGAAUCAUUCACAAUGGGGGAAACCCUGAUGGUGCGACGCCGCGUGGGGGAAUGAAGGUCUUCGGAUUGUAAACCCCUGUCAUGUGGGAGCAAAUUAAAAAGAUAGUACCACAAGAGGAAGAGACGGCUAACUCUGUGCCAGCAGCCGCGGUAAUACAGAGGUCUCAAGCGUUGUUCGGAAUCACUGGGCGUAAAGCGUGCGUAGGCUGUUUCGUAAGUCGUGUGUGAAAGGCGCGGGCUCAACCCGCGGACGGCCCAUGAUACUGGGAGACUAGAGGAAUGGAGGGGGAACCGGAAUUCUCGGUGUAGCAGUGAAAUGCGUAGAUAUCGGGAGGAACACUCGUGGCGAAGGCGGGUUCCUGGACAUUAACUGACGCUGAGGCACGAAGGCCAGGGGAGCGAAAGGGAUUAGAUACCCGGGUAGUC
RNAcentral lists this ribosomal RNA (446 nucleotides) under uncultured bacterium. RNAcentral's name for it is "partial 16S ribosomal RNA". It matches the Rfam family "Bacterial small subunit ribosomal RNA", at positions 338 to 795 of the family's 1533-position model. The record is from RNAcentral.